GUUACCCUGCUGUGUUCGCGAUGCAGCACGUGCGUUUUGAGCCAACACCUACUUUUAAUCGGCCUUGAUUUCUGCGUGUACGCGAUAGGCUUCGGCCAAGGCGGAAGCGUGGAUGCGGGCCACUACCUGCGAGAGCAGGUUCAAAACAUGGCUGCACACGGCACGGCGGGGGACUG
RNAcentral lists this non-coding RNA (176 nucleotides) under Anaerolineae bacterium. RNAcentral describes it as "6S RNA". It matches the Rfam family "6S / SsrS RNA". Rfam says of the family: E. coli 6S RNA was the first non coding RNA to be sequenced, but its function was unknown until recently. It consists of 184 nucleotides that fold into an extended hairpin structure with a large single-stranded internal bulge. The 6S RNA specifically associates with RNA polymerase holoenzyme containing the sigma70 specificity factor. The record is from RNAcentral. Lineage: Bacteria; Bacillati; Chloroflexota; Anaerolineae.